CCUACGGGAGGCAGCAGUGGGGAAUAUUGGGCAAUGGGCGAAAGCCUGACCCAGCCACGCCGCGUGAGUGAUGAAGGCCUUCGGGUCGUAAAGCUCUGUGGGGAGGGACGAAACAACCUCGGGAAUAAUACCCCGGGGUCCUGACGGUACCUCCUUAGCAAGCACCGGCUAACUCCGUGCCAGCAGCCGCGGUAAUACGGAGGGUGCAAACGUUGCUCGGAAUUACUGGGCGUAAAGCGCACGUAGGCGGUCUGCUGUGUCCGAGGUAAAAGCCCUCGGCUCAACCGAGGAAGUGCAUUGGAAACUGGCAGGCUCGAGUACGGAAGAGGGGGGUGAAAUUCCUGGUGUAGCAGGGAAAUGCGUAGAGAUCAGGAGGAACACCGAUGGCGAAGGCAGCCCCCUGGGUUGACACUGACGCUCAUGCACGAAAGCGUGGGGAGCAAACAGGAUUAGAUACCUUUGUAGU
RNAcentral lists this ribosomal RNA (466 nucleotides) under uncultured bacterium. Its description in RNAcentral is "partial 16S ribosomal RNA". It matches the Rfam family "Bacterial small subunit ribosomal RNA", at positions 338 to 794 of the family's 1533-position model. The record is from RNAcentral.